CAGGCUUAACACAUGCAAGUCGAGGGGCAGCAUGGUCUUAGCUUGCUAAGGCCGAUGGCGACCGGCGCACGGGUGAGUAACACGUAUCCAACCUGCCGUCUACUCUUGGACAGCCUUCUGAAAGGAAGAUUAAUACAAGAUGGCAUCAUGAGUCCGCAUGUUCACAUGAUUAAAGGUAUUCCGGUAGACGAUGGGGAUGCGUUCCAUUAGAUAGUAGGCGGGGUAACGGCCCACCUAGUCUUCGAUGGAUAGGGGUUCUGAGAGGAAGGUCCCCCACAUUGGAACUGAGACACGGUCCAAACUCCUACGGGAGGCAGCAGUGAGGAAUAUUGGUCAAUGGGCGAGAGCCUGAACCAGCCAAGUAGCGUGAAGGAUGACUGCCCUAUGGGUUGUAAACUUCUUUUAUAAAGGAAUAAAGUCGGGUAUGGAUACCCGUUUGCAUGUACUUUAUGAAUAAGGAUCGGCUAACUCCGUGCCAGCAGCUGCGGUAAUACGGAGGAUCCGAGCGUUAUCCGGAUUUAUUGGGUUUAAAGGGAGCGUAGAUGGAUGUUUAAGUCAGUUGUGAAAGUUUGCGGCUCAACCGUAAAAUUGCAGUUGAUACUGGAUAUCUUGAGUGCAGUUGAGGCAGGCGGAAUUCGUGGUGUAGCGGUGAAAUGCUUAGAUAUCACGAAGAACUCCGAUUGCGAAGGCAGCCUGCUAAGCUGCAACUGACAUUGAGGCUCGAAAGUGUGGGUAUCAAACAGGAUUAGAUACCCUGGUAGUCCACACGGUAAACGAUGAAUACUCGCUGUUUGCGAUAUACUGCAAGCGGCCAAGCGAAAGCGUUAAGUAUUCCACCUGGGGAGUACGCCGGCAACGGUGAAACUCAAAGGAAUUGACGGGGGCCCGCACAAGCGGAGGAACAUGUGGUUUAAUUCGAUGAUACGCGAGGAACCUUACCCGGGCUUAAAUUGCAGAUGAAUUACGGUGAAAGCCGUAAGCCGCAAGGCAUCUGUGAAGGUGCUGCAUGGUUGUCGUCAGCUCGUGCCGUGAGGUGUCGGCUUAAGUGCCAUAACGAGCGCAACCCUUGUUGUCAGUUACUAACAGGUUCCGCUGAGGACUCUGACAAGACUGCCAUCGUAAGAUGUGAGGAAGGUGGGGAUGACGUCAAAUCAGCACGGCCCUUACGUCCGGGGCUACACACGUGUUACAAUGGGGGGUACAGAGGGCCGCUACCACGCGAGUGGAUGCCAAUCCCCAAAACCUCUCUCAGUUCGGACUGGAGUCUGCAACCCGACUCCACGAAGCUGGAUUCGCUAGUAAUCGCGCAUCAGCCACGGCGCGGUGAAUACGUUCCCGGGCCUUGUACACACCGCCCGUCAAGCCAUGGGAGCCGGGGGUACCUGAAGUGCGUAACCGCGAGGAGCGCCCUAGGGUAAAACUGGUGACUGGG
This 1432-nucleotide ribosomal RNA is filed under the name uncultured organism. Its description in RNAcentral is "16S ribosomal RNA". It matches the Rfam family "Bacterial small subunit ribosomal RNA". The record is from RNAcentral.